Long non-coding RNA from Camelus dromedarius (Arabian camel), 1008 nucleotides. RefSeq lists it as uncharacterized. The record is from RefSeq and is a predicted model, not a curated record. The transcript is spliced from 3 exons. NCBI's taxonomy places the organism in Eukaryota, Metazoa, Chordata, Mammalia, Artiodactyla, Camelidae.
GCCAGCCAGGGGGACCCGCCAGCGGUCCAGUGCUUCCUCAUUUGGCUCCGUAGCAAAGCAGGAUGCUUCUUUCUGAUUUCUCCUCCUGAUAGCAGGGCACCCAGAUCAAAGGACGGAGCGCUCCAAACAAUACUGGGAACGUCUGCACAGCGACGAUCUAGAAAGUGUGUGAAGCCAGAGAGUUUGCAGCUCCUAGAAGAGCAGGCGGCACCUCACAGAAAGUCUCUGAAGAUGUAGGACUGACCAGCCCCCGUGAUCCCAGGACUUCUUAAGAUUUGUUGCACAGACGCUAGAGGCGAUGCAAGGCUUGAGGUGGAGAGGUGGGGGCUUUCCUCUGUGCCCCCCCUACUCAAGGGGAGCCCCGGAGACUUGGAAGUGAGCUUGAGUUGCUUCCAGCCAUGUGCCUUGGGAGUCCUACAGAAAAGUGGCUUCCGACUUCCACGGUCUGCUCUGCCUCGGAAGUUGGGUCACCGGCAUUUUUGAGUUUUCAGUGCUGGCCACGUUCCUCCUCCUCUUCUCUGAAAAAGGCUUGUAGCCUAGAUCUAUUUGCAUUUGGAGUGAAAGUGAUUUGGAGACUUUUGAAAAGAAUUUCCCUGACGCCCUGUGAAUGGACCGGAAGCUACUUUGAGAGCUUGAAGACGCGUUGGGAGCGUCUUUCUUUCAGACUUGACACCACACAAUUGACUGCUGGUCUCCCUGCAGUGAUGUCGGCCGCCUCUGCCCUCGCGCGGCCUCCUGCUGCGCAGGGUGGGCGUCCCUGCCCUGGGCUUUGAGCUUGGCUGUGUGACUUUCUUGGGCCAACGCCCUGGAAGACAUGACAUGACAUGUGUGAAGCCCUGAACGUGCUUUGAUGGGGGGGGCUGGCCCUCUCGGGUGCCCGUCUUUGCCCUGAGAUGAAUGUCCCCUGGGAAACCACUGGCCCAAGGGGGAAGAGAAACACACCAAGCAGAGCAGAAACCAAGCCAAGGCCAGCUGACCCACAGAUGGGUGGACAAAAGUGAAUGCUGA